GGCCUCAUAGCCUAGUGGUUAGUGUACUAGCUCGCUAAGCGUGAGGUCGUGGGUUCGAGCCCCACUCGUGUCA
Non-coding RNA from Drosophila ananassae, 73 nucleotides. NCBI's taxonomy places the organism in Eukaryota, Metazoa, Arthropoda, Insecta, Diptera, Drosophilidae. The record is from Rfam.